Molecule: long non-coding RNA, 24641 nt
Filed under: Fragaria vesca (wild strawberry)
Lineage: Eukaryota; Viridiplantae; Streptophyta; Magnoliopsida; Rosales; Rosaceae
Description: long non-coding RNA (FVES_LNC000816)
Source: RNAcentral
AAAAAUAAUUCGUUCUGCGUCUGAGUUUUCUCGAAAGAAAAAACUGCGCUUUGAGGACUACGAUCGGGUCUUGAUCCUCCAUCGCUGUUUUCACCCUCAAAUUUGAUGGAAUCUCUUAAGAGAAUUCGAGCGAUUUAUAUUUGGAGUUUUAGAGGGUUCUUGAAUUAAAAUUUAUGGAGAGGAGACAUUAGGGUUCUUGAAGAUCAGGUUGUGUGAAGCGCGAUUAUAAAAGAGAAUUUUGAAACUCAAUAAGUUUUUUUUAUUUUUAGAAGUAGAAGAAGAGAAUUUUGAAGAGAAAUUUUAAGGGCCAAUUAUAUAUAAGUCCAUUUUGAGACAUUUUUUCCCACAUAGAUCCACCCCAACAUUUUUACCCACAUAAAUCCACCCAAGUCUAAAUAAGGUUUUGUAUUAAGUAUUGAAGUUCAACAUAAUUACAGACUGCCAUCCAACAAAAAAAAAGAUUUUCUCCUUUAUAUUUACAAGAAUGCCACUAGUAUAAAAAGUCAACAACCACUCAUUUCGGAACAGUCUCCGGUGGACCUCCGGCGAGGUUUCCGGCGGACCUCCGGGGAGGUUUCCGGCCGACCUCCGGCGAGGUUUCCGGCCGCCCUCCGGCGAGAUUUCCGACCGACCUCCGGCGAGGUUUCUGUCCGACCUCCGACGAUGACAAAAAUUACUACUACCAGCUAUAAAAGCUACUACUACCAGCUACAAAAGCUACUACCACCGCCUACAAAAGAUACUACUGUGAGGUUUCUGAUGAACACAAAAGCUACUACCACCAGCCACAAAAACUACUACCACAAGCUACAAAAGCUACUACCACCGCCUACAAAAGCUACUGCUGUGAGGUUUCCGACGAACACAAAAACUACUACCACCAGCUACAAAAGCUACUACCACUGCCUACAAAAGCUACUACCGAGAUAAACAAAAGCUACCACCAACAUAACAAAAGCUAGCUACUACCCCUAUAUACAAAAGCUACCGCCACAACAAAAGUUAUUACCGACAUAAACAAAAGCUACUACCCCUAUAUACAAAAACUACUACUGCCAGACAUAAAAGCUAUUGCCUCCAUCAAUAUAAGCUACUACCGUUACCAACAAAAAUUACUACUCUAACUAACAAAAGCUACUACUUUCACUGACAAAAACUACUACAAGAUAUUUACUACUGUUUGAACUCUCACAAUCUUCACCUCCACUUGAUUUCCUGCAAUUCGAAUCAAAAUCACGAUCCGUCAACACAUAUGCAAAUCACACUCACAUAUCUCGUGUUCGGAUUUACAGAAUCGUAGAGAGAAACAAAAAUUAAAAGAAAGAACUGCAUUACCUCUGUGAGAUCUAAAGAAUUAGAAGCAGAUCGAGAUUGAUUUGACUCCGGCGAUCUUGACGUCGAGAGGUCGUAACUCCAGACGACGAGGACGAUCAUUUGCGCACCACCACGUAAUCAAACAGUGUGUUCCUUCAACACCUUUUUCAGAGUUCUGACCUCCAUCCAAUCCUUGACGUGUUGCAGAUCGACGCCAGAGAAGCAGAUCGAUGUCGGUGUAGCAAAAUCGACGUCGGAGAUAUAGGCCUCGGNNNNNNNNNNNNNNNNNNNNUUUUUCCUCAGUUAUGGGUCGUUCCUAAUUGAACUAUUGGGCCAGGUCUAGGUUGGCUGGUUCGGGAUCGACCCAAAGAGUGUCUGGAGUUUGGACCAAGGUUCCCGGGUACAGACAGACUAAUCUCUAGGUACAGGCAUACGCUGGUCACAAAUAGGUAGAAAUUGAGACUCGAACACUAGGCAUAGGGAUUCCAUAUUAGGGCGGUCUCAACCAACCUCCCAACUUUUUUGUCAUAUCUCUACUAUAAUAAAACCAACAAUCAAGAAAUUCGCUAAAUUAUGAACGAACCUAAUUUCUCUUAAUGAGCCAAUUGAAACAAAUAAAAACAAGAGAAAUUUUAUUAACACGUCUCUAAAUGCUAGAUACACAUUUCUUUUUUGAGAAAUUUUAAAUACACACCCCUAAUAUCUUAAUACACACCCCUUACUUAAUACACCACCUAUCAAGUUUUUCAUUUCAGUAUUAUACUUAAUACACAUCCCAAACUGCCUAAAAUGCCCUUAAUUUAUGAAAUAUUCUAUUAUUUAAUAUAAUUAAUGUAUAUUUACCAUUUGGUACCUCUUUUUACAUAUUAUUUCGUCUAAUUUUUGCUAGAAAUUUUUUGUUAUCAUCAUUCAAUUUAUAAUCAAAUGAUUAUUGUUAUAUCCCAACUCCAAAUCACCAAUACAAGUUUUCAAAAUUCACAAGCUAGUAGAACUGUAGAAGUACAGUAGAUAUUGAACAUAGAUAGCUAGUUAUUCGAUAAAACAUGUCAUGAUAAAAUGCAGCACUUGACAAUAUGAUAUGCAAGAUCAAACUAAAGCUGAUACAGAUACAAAAAAAAAAAAAAACAACUCAAAUGAAUUGUGGAGAAGAGUUGGGUUAGGGGAGAAGACAUGCUUUCGACGAUUUUAGGGUAGAAGACGUUGAAAAAAGAAUACUUCUAGAGCUAUUUUUUUUUUUUUUAAUAAUAGAUGUAUGUUUUGGUCAUUUAACUUACCUAUAAAAAUCUCAAUAGAAACAUAAAAUAAUAAAGGUGUGUAUUAAGAUAUUAAGGGUGUGUAUUUAAAAUUUCUUAAUUUUGAAACUCAUAAGUUGCUGAAGAGAAAAAUCAAAAGAAGUUUCCAUAAGUAUAUACUUCCACACUGAUGUCCAUCGUGCAAUAUCUUUUUGAAAUUAAUUCGAGAUCAUUUUUCUUCUUGAAGAGAACAAGUUGAUUCGACAAGUUUCGAAAAGAUAAUAAUUAAGGUUUUUAAACGGAAAUAAUCUUCUUGAUUAAAAUAAAAUAAAAUUAUUUUGAUAGAUUUAAAAAAAAAAAUCCAGUUCACAAACUGAUUUCCAGUCCUAUGGAUUUGAUGGAUUGCCGUCAAUCUCGAAUUAAUUAAUUCCAUAAUUUAAUCAUAAUUUGAUGGAUUUGAUCGCUUUCUCUCUCAAUUUCAAUUUCUCGCGACCGUUGCUCAAUGCUUUUACACCAAUUUAAAAUAGUUAAUAAUAAUGAGAGUUGAUUGGCACAGUAGAAUCCCACUAUUAAAAAAUAUUUAUUUUUUCUUCUUUGAUAGGAAGUUUGAGACUAUAAACAUUGUGUUUAGAUACGGAGAAAUUCUCUGUAAUUUAAUUGAAAGUAAAGAUUUUAUAAUUCUGAGAAGCCAAUUCUCUAAUUUGGCAUUAUUAUAUAGAGAAUUUUAAAUUUUGAUUGGAAUUGAAAACAAAGGAAUUCAUUGACUAAAUUCCUCACUUGAAUUCCACCAAAAAUAAAUGUUAUUUACAAAUUCUAUUGCGGGAUUCAAUUUUUAUUUCCAGAACAAGGCUUUUUAAAAUUUUAUUUUUUAUAUUUAUUUUAAACUUUCUUAAUCUAUCACACAUUUCAAAUCCCAAAAAUACUUAACCAAACAAUGAAAAUUACAAUUAACGGAAUUUCAAUUGAUAGAUAUUUAAAUUCUAUUAUUUCAUAAUUACUCAAGAAUUAAGAAAACUCUCAUCCAAACGCAGGGUAAAAGUAGCGAACUGAAAUUUACACUCCUAAUUUUUCAAUCCAUACUCUCAUUUUUAUUUUUUGGUAAUUUAAAUUUUAUUUUUAGUGACAUGUGUUUUAUCUUUUUGUGAAAAUUUUACCCAAAAAAAAAAAUGUGGGAGUGUGAAUCAGAAAAUAGGGAGUGAAAUUAUUUCUAACAUACUAUUGAAAAUCUAUUUUGCUCACGUUUUUGGAAAGUAGGGUUUGCGGAGGGUUUGCGGAGGGCCGGAGGCGAUUAGGAAAAACAAAUUUGGGGACAAAUUUUUACUUUAAAUAGAACGAGAAAAAGAGGGAAGGUAAUAGCAGCGUACUCUCUCUCUCCCUUUUAUAUCACUUCCAGGGUUUUGAUCCUUUACCUCGAGUCACCAACAGUCAUGGCUACAGUCAACAUGUCCGGCGGGUCUUCUAAUGGUAACGAAUCCCUCAUUUACUGUUUUUAUGUGUUUCUCAUGCUGAAAUUCGAUCUAGUUGUUUGAUAAUGCUCUGGGUUUAUGCCUACAGGUGGGAAGGUAGAGAACAAUCCAGGAUACUUUAAGGUUAGUAUUUCACUUUUCUUAGCAACCAAGAGACUCUUGUUCCAGUUUUAACUGUUGCUCUCUAAAUUUUACUGUUGAUCUAAUUUUUCCGUGGACAGUUUGACGGUCGGCGCUCCUAUGUCUUGGAGACUCUGGACGAAGAGAACAGAGAGCGCAUCGAUAAACUUAGAAAGAUUCAGGUAUAUAUGGAGCUUGUAUUUUACAGUUGAUUUGUUUCAUUCACUCAACAUCACUUUGUUAUUUCACGGGUUCUGUAUCUUGCAGAGAGACCUUGAUGUUAUAAAGGCGGGGUUUCACAAUGAGAGAGCAAAUCUUGAAGCCAGCUUUCUGGAGUCUUGUGAACCUCUGUACCUCCAGGUAUGCGUUCUUAAUUGACUGCCAAUAUCAAUCUAUUGAAUGUCAUGUAUAUAGAUUAGUUAUUUAAUGAAUCUUGCAGAGAUACAAUAUUGUGAAUGGCGUGGUUGAAGAAGCUGGAAUCACUACUAAUGCUGCUGCACGAGCUACAUCAAUGAACCAGACCAAAAAACAGAAAGAAGGUACAUAUUAUCCUUGACCUUAGUUAUGUCUUACAAUAAAGAGUUUGUCACAAUUAUUAUGUGUUUCUGCAGGAGAAGGGGUGCCUAGUUUCUGGUUAUAUGCUCUGAAAGGAUGUGACGACGUAUAUGAUGAGGUUGUUAUCGCAUAACGUUUUUAACCAUGUAUCCCAUCCUUAAAUCCUUAAUGUUUGUAGUUGUAACUCAGUUGUUUACAUCUUGUCUCUUGGAAUCAGAUUAAGGAACAAGAUGAAGGAGCUCUCAAACAUCUUACGGACAUUAAGUGGUCCAAGAUACAAAAAGGAUUCAGGCUUGAAUUCCAUUUCAGCACUAAUCCCUUCUUUGAAAACCCUGUCUUGACCAAGACGUAUCACAUGACUGAUGAAGAUGGAUUCUUUAUAGAAUGCGCAAUAGGGUAAGUUUCUUGUUUUAUCCAUCUGUUACAAGGAAGGCAGGUGUUUGUAUUUACUUGACUGUAUUUUCUUUGGCACCUGAUGCUUUGUAGGACAGAGAUUAAAUGGCGUCCGGGAAAAUGCUUGACACAUAAGCUCGCCAAGGAAUCUGGGAAGGGAUCAAAGAAAGUCGAACCAAUGACUAUUGAGAGCUUCUUUGGCUUUUUCAGUCCACCUAACAUCCCAAAGAACCUGAAAGAUGAGAAAAAUCUUGUUGAGGUGAGUUUGUUGUCAGAAGGUCAUCUUUAUAUUUGCUUCCUUAUUUGAUUGUGUAUACACAUGAAUUUUCUUUUAAUUUGUUUUCCCCAACAGGUCAUAAAUCAGAAAUACGAUAUGGAAAUGGAUUUUUGCUUGGGGUGAGCUCAUAACUUGUGCUUUAGCCAUAGGCAGAACUUUGUAUUAGUUACGGUAAUGAUUGAGAUCUCAAUACAGAUAGAUUCUCUGAACUUCGCUUUUGGUCGAUGUAUUUAUUCUCAUGUAGGUUGACCAUUCGAGAUCAGAUCAUCCCAUGCGCCGUUACACAGUUUACAGGAAAGGCUGCACUGGAGGAUAAGACCAAAAUAUCUGCGCAGCACUCCAAUUUCCUUGACAAUCUAGGAAAAAAUGCCAGAAAAUGUGUUGAAAGUCUUAGACUAAUCCAGGUACUAUUUUCCAUUGCUCUGAAAUUUAUAGUUGUUGUAUGGGAUAUUGUAUUAUUCAAUUUGAUAUGUUUCCACGCUUUAUUAUUUUCAGUUGAGAUUGCACUCCAAAUUAGUAAUCAACAACUUGCUUAACAACUUUGUUUUAUUCAUUUGAUCCAUUUUAUUAAACAGAUAUAGUUCUUGUGAUGUGUUUACUGCAAGUUCUUGACGAUUCGCCCCAUUAUUAUUCUAUGAUCAUUUUAUAAAAGUUUGCAUUUGAUGUACAUAACUUGAUGCUUUCUCAACUUGAAGGAAAAACUUGAUGCAUUGACAGCAGAAUUUGACGAGAAUACAGCAUCAGUUCAAGCAAAAUAUCUUCAAUCAUGUGAACAUUUGUAUCUACAGGUAUAUAGACAAUUUGUACAAUGUAUCAAUCUGUGUAUCAUCUCUCCAUCAUUUUUUCUGUUAGAUGACGAUAAUUGUCACUCCACUUCACAGCGACACAAUAUCGUAAAUGAUCCUGAAGCAGAUGGAGUUGGCAGUGAUUAUGAAGAUGAAGCAUAUAUAUAUGGUACGUUUUUGAUACUUGUAUAUCUAUAAACUUUACCAUUUUGUUAAUUAUUUCAUGACUGUUUAUUGUCCUGUUAUGUAUUUUGGCAGGGAAAGGGGUGCCUUACUUCUGGCUCAAUGCUUUGCAAAACAAUGACUACAUAGAAAAUGAGGUAGGUGUUGGAUGCAUACUGUUUCUCAUUUCCAUUGUUUACUUACUUGUGAAUUGAAUCCUUCUUUGUUUUCUCUCUUGUCUUCAAAAUUUAGAUUACUUAUCGUGAUGAACAAGCUCUAAAGUAUCUUAAAGACAUCAAGUCUUCCCCCAUUGAUGACUCCGAGGGCUUCAAACUUGACUUCUGCUUUAAAGCCAAUCCCUUCUUUGAAAAUUCUGUCUUGACCAAGACAUUCCUCAUGAGUGUUGAGAAUGAUAUAUCCCUAGUGAAAGAUAUAAAAGGGUGAGUUGGGUUUUUCUACCUUAUGCAAAGGCAUGUAUUGAUGUACAGUUAACAUGGUUUGUAUAUAUUGCCUACAGUUUGACGGGCACGUAUUGUUUUAUAGGACUGAGAUUGAAUGGUAUCCGGCAAGAUGCUUGACAACGAUACCUAUUAAGAAGAAACCUGAGACACAAUCAGAGGAUGCGAAAUCGAUCACUGUAACUGAAGAUUGUGACAGUUUCUUCUCUCUUUUUGGUGCACUUGAAGUGGUAGAUGAUGUAAGCUGGUUAUAUAUUGUCUUAAACUUGUAGUUUAGAAUUCGACUUUUCUCUAGUGUCUUAUAUGCUUCUCUUUCUUAGCAGAACUUCAAGCGUUCACGUCAGGCGGAACAUGAUUUUCAUAUUGGGUGAGUUCAUUGUCCUAAAGCGUAUGAUCUUUUACUUCUUUCUUAAUUCAGCUAUUGAUUGUUGGAUACUUGUUAACUUUGAGUACAUUUUUGACAUUGAUUUUGUGUAGGUUAAUUAUCCGAGAUCAGAUUAUUCCCCAUGCAGUUUCUUGGUUUACAGGGGAGGCUAUUGAGAACAGAGAUGACUUACAAGACGAUGAAGACCAAGACCAGUACCUUGGAUUUGAAGCAGAAUAUUAUGAUGAUAACGAAGAUGGCGAUGAUGAGUACGAAGACCUUGACCAUGGAUUAGGCUCUGAUGGAGACGACUCUGAUGAAGAAUACAUUGAUAAUUACAAUAGAACAUACAAUUAUUAUUAAGUCAUCAUAGAUGAAACCGAACAAAGUUAAAGAUUUCGAAACCCAGAGUGAGCAUGUUUGGUAUUUUAGUAUAUGGCAAGACAAGCUAGUAGCUUGUUGGCAGUUUAAGAAUGUUUUGAGAUGCCCACAUAUAUAUCAUGAGUUCAUGACUACAUUACAUUAAUACCUUUUACAUCUCCCUAUUUGGCAGCUUAAGAAUGUUUUGAGGUGCCCAUAAGAAUAAGGUAAGGGUUGGUGUAUCUGUUAGCUGUUGAAGUUAAUGCUUUCCUUAGUGAACAUAUUAGGAAGCAGCAAGAAAUAUUUAGCUACAGGGAAGCUGAAGUACUACAGUGACUCACUGCAGUGAGAUAUUUUCUCCCACUUAGUUUACCGUUUUCUCCUCACCUAAUAUAGAGAAUUUAUUGUAUGUAAAGUACAAUUAUAAUCUAGUUUAGAUGUUUCUAAGAUAUUUUAUAGGUUAUAUUGCACCCUAUAUAAGGGUAAUUUGUUAUGUAAUCCUUAAGAAGUCCAGAAGUAAGAAAUAGAAGCUGCAAAGUUUUGCUUCAAAGUUCAACUGAGUUUUCUUCUUCCUCAUUUGCUACAGCAAAUUGAUCUUGAUCAUAUUUUGUUCAAAAUACAAAAUAGAGGCUCAAAUUCUAACAUGGUAUCAGAGCCCUGUUGAUCAAUAUCAACUAGGGUAUGUACCAUCUGUUGGAUCAAAAAAAAAAAACAAAUAGUUUUCUGCUACUACAAUGACUACAUCAGAAAAUAGUUUAGAGGUUAGAGUUCCUAUCUUCUCAGGAGAGAACUUUGAUUUCUAGAUUAUUAAGAUGGAAACCAUGUUCAUAUCACGUGAUUUAUUGAGCUAUGUGAAUGAAGGCUAUAUAAUUCCAGCAGUUGAAGGGAUGACAAAUGCUCAAAGGACUGAGUUGAAGGAAAAUAUCAAGAAAGAUGCAAAAGCUCUUGGUAUUUUGCAAACCGCAGUCACAGAUGCUAUCUUUCCAAGAAUUGCAAAUGAGAGAACAGCCAAAGGAGCUUGGGAUGUUCUAAAGGUGGAGUUCAAAGGCUCAGAUAAUGUGAGAGCUGCAUGUUAAAGUUCAAUCUUUAAGGAGAGAUUUUGAAUAUACUAGAAUGAAUGAAACUGAGCUGUUAAGUGAUUAUUGCACUAGAUUGACUGAUUUAGUUAACCAAAUGAAAACAUAUACUUGAAAAGAGAGUAGUACAGAAGAUCCUUAUGAGUUUGAAUAGGAAGUAUGAUGCUAUAACAAGUAUUAUAGAGGAGACUAAGGAUAUAGACACUCUUGGUGUGCAAGAUUUAAUGGGGACACUUAAGGCUUUUGAUCAGAGGUUGAUGAGUCAUGAUGAACCAGCAAAAAAAGCCUUUCAAACACUAAGCCUAAACACAAAUAGUGAGCCAUCUAGUUCAAAUUCCAAAAAGAAAAAGAAUUGGAAAGGCAAAGGCAAGAAGUGGGAGGGUAGAUCAGAUCAGUCAGGAAAAAGAAAAAAUGAAGGAAGCAGUAGUUCAAAUUAUUCGAAGUGUUCAAUCUGUGAUAGGAUGCAUAUAAGUGAAUGUUGGUUUAAGGGGAAACGAAAAUGUUCAAUUGUAACAAGUUUGGUCAUGUCAAGAAGGAUUGUGACUACAAGGGAAAUAAACUGGCUAGCUGUAGUGAAGAACAAAGUGAUACUAGUAUGUUCUGUGUCACUUAUGAUGCAACCACUGCGGUGAAUGAGAAUGUAUGACUUGUUGAUAGUGCUUGCAGUAAUCAUAUGACUGCAAAUGCCAACCUUAUCUAUGACAUUGACUACAACAGCAUUACAACGGUGAAGAUGGCAAAUAGAAUGUUGGUGGAUACAAAAGGCAAAGGAAGUGUUGUUGUUGAAACCAAAAAUGGAAAAAUGUUCAUCAGAGAUGUAAUGCUUGUUCCAAAUCUUGAUUCAAAUUUGCAGAGUGUUGGACAACUCGUUGAGCACAAAUAUCACCUGCAUUUUGGUGAUGACACUUGCAAAAUCUUUGAGAGAGGGAAUAGCAAGAAGCUAAUGGUGGAAGUUGAAAUGAAGAGGAGCAUAAGUUUUCCUCUGACUCUCAUGUAUGCAACUGAGAAUGCAAGAAAAAUGGAGAUGCAGGAAGAUCCUUGGCUCUGGCAUCAAAGGCUUGGACAUGCAUUUGAAUUUUCAAAGUCUGAAGCUGCAGCAUCAGAAUGAAAUGGUGCAAGGAUUGCCAAAAAUUAAAGAAGUUACUGAAGUGUGUGAAGGAUGUGCACUUGGAAAGCAGCAUAUUAUCUUAUUUCCAAAAGGGAAGGCAUGGAGAGCAAAAACACCACUAGAGUUGGUCCAUUCUGAUGUCUGUGGUCCUAUGAAAACAAUUAUUAGGGGAGGUAACAGAUAUUUCCUUACAUUCAUUGAUUAUUGUUCAAGAAUGACUUGGGUUUAUUUUCUGAGGCAAAAAUCUGAUGUGUUCAUUGUGUUCAAGAAGUUUCAAGCUAUGGUAGAGAUAAUCUGAUCUCAAAAUCAAGAAGCUUAGAUCAGAUAGAGGUGGUGAAUACACAUCAAAUGAGUUUGGAGAUUUUUGUGCAUAUAUUGAUUUUUGUGCAUAUAAUCUGAAAAAGAAGAAAAUUGUUAUCUGCAAAGAUGUUCUCUUCAGUGAGAAUGCAUCUUGGGAUUGGAAUCAAGGUUCAUUCCUGCAACAAUGUGUGCCAGAUAAUGUUGUUCAAGAUGAAGAUGUUCCAGAAGAGUUAGAACUUAAUCCACCGCAACAAACUCCACCUCACAGUCUUGAACAACCCUCACCAGCACAUUCAAAUGCUCAAUCUACACCAAGCUCAACACAAAUAAGGAUGAGAAGCUUGAAUAAAGUGUAUGAAAGCUGUAAUGCAUGCUUAUUUGAGCUUGAAAGAUUUGAAGAAGCUGUGAAAGUAGAUGACUGGCGGACUGCAAUGAAAGAGGAAAUUGAUGUGAUUGUGAAAAACAACACAUGGGAGCUUGUUGAUAAACUAGACAACAAGGAUGUCAUUGGUUUGAAGUGGAUUUACAAAACCAAGCUAAAUGCAGAUGGUUCUGCGUAAAGAAACAAAGCAAGAUUGGUGGCAAAAGGGUAUUCACAGAUACCUGGAGUUGAUUUCAAUGAAACUUUUGCACAAGUUGCAAGACAUGAGACAAUCAGAGGUCUGAUUUCCAUUGCAGCACAAAAAGGUUUGUUUUUGCACCAGCUAGAUGUUAAAUCGGCGUUUCUAAAUGGAGUGUUGAAAGAAGAGGUAUUUGUGGAGCAACCACAAGGUUUCAUUAUCAAGGGUAAAGAGCAGAAAGUUUAUAAGCUGAAGGCUUCUUUAUGGUUUGAAACAAGCCCCAAGAGCUUAGUACGGUGAGAUCGAUUCCUAUUUCACAGAAAGAGGGUUUCAAAUGAGUGAAAAUGAACCUGCUCUCUACACCAAAACUGAAGGUAAAUCAAGCAUAUUUAUUGUCUCCUUAUAUGUUGAUGAUUUGGUAUUUAUUGGAAAUUGUGAAAAGAUGAUUUCAAAUUUCAAGUCUGAUAUGAUGAGGAAAUAUGAAAUGAGUGAUUUGGGAAUCUUGCAUUAUAUUCUAGGAAUUGUAAUUGUUCAAGCAACGGAGGGAAUCUUCAUUACUCAGAAGAAAUAUGCAAAGACAAUUCUAGAGAAGUUCAAAAUGCUUGGUUGCAAUGCUGUUGCAACACCUCUAGUUGUCAAUGAAAAAUUUUCAAAAGAAGAUGGAAGUGGUAAAGUUGAUGAGAGUUUAUACAGAAGUUUAGUGGGAAGUUUGCUUUACUUGACAGCAACAAGACCUGAUAUCAUGUAUGCUGCAAGUUUGAUGUCCAGAUUUAUGCACAAUCCUACCAAGAUUCACUAUGGAGCUGCAAGGAGAAUCCUUAGAUACAUUCAAGGUACAAUGGACUUUGGAAUUCUGUAUGAGAGGAAUGUGGAACCAAAACUCUUUGGCUUUUGUGAUAGUGAUUGGGGAGGAAGUGUUGAUGAUUUAAAAAGCACAUCUGGAUAUACUUUUACACUUGGAACUAGUGUAUUCUCCUGGGCUUCAAAGAAGUAAAAAUCAGUAGCCUUGUCUACAGCUGAAGCAAAGUAUGUAUCUGCAUCAAUAGCCACUUCAAAUUGCUCAAAAGAUUCAUUGAAGACUUUGGUGAGAAGCAAACAUCUGCAACAACUAUUCUCAAUGAUAACAAGUCUGUAAUUGCCAUGAGCAAGAACCCUGUAUAUCACAGUAGGGCAAAACAUAUUGUCUUGAAGUUUCACUACAUCAGAGAUGCAGUUGAGGAGAAUGAGAUUGAUCUGGUGUACUGUAAUACAGAUGACCAAGUUGCAGACAUCUUCACCAAAGCUCUACCAAGAGAGAGGUUUGAAUACCUUAGAGGCCUGCUAGGAGUGCAUAAGCAAAGCAUUAAGAGGGAGUGUUGAAGUUAAUGUUUUCCUUAGUCAACAUACUAGGAAGUAGCAGGAAAUACUUAGCUGCAGGGAAGCUGAAGUACUGUAGUGACUCACUGCAGUGAGAUAUUUUCUCCCACUUGGUUUACUGUUUUCUCCUCACCUAAUCUCUAGAUAUUUUGUUGUAUGUAAAGUACAAUUAUAAUCUAGUUAAUUAGGUGUUUCUAAGAUAUUUUGUAGGUUAUAUUGCACCCUAUAUAAGGGUAAGUUUGUUGUGUAAUCCUUAAGAAUUCCAGAAGUAAGAAAUAGAAGCUACAAAGUUUUGCUUCAAAGUUCAACUGAGUUUUCUUCUGCCUCAUUUGCUACAGCAAAUUGAUCUUGAUCAUAUUUUGUUCAAAAUACAAAGUAGAAGCUCAAAUUCUAACUUUAGCUUCAUAUUUCGGGAUCAUGAGUUGCUUAUUGUUCUCAGUAGCUACAAACUGUAAUUUAUGUAAUCAUGUCAUAUGAUCAAAGUUUCAUUAUCAUUAAUUGCAAUACAAAUUGAUGAAGAUAGAGUUCAACUGAGAUUUCAUUGAACAAGAAAGAGAGAAAGCAAAAGACUAGAAAGAAAAAAAUAGCAGCUAACAAAAAGGGCGCAUUCCAAAAAACAAACUCCAGGACCUUCCGCACAAAAAUUGUCAUUCAUCUCCUUUGCAGCUCUCCAAUGGCAACCUUCCAACCUUCUCCUCUACAACUGGCGCUUCUGGAGUUGCCUCAUCAUCUGCAAGCUGUGCCGCUGCAGCUGCCUUCUUUGCCAUUUCUGCAGCUGCCUUCUUUGAGACUUUUGCAGCUGCCUUCUUUGCGACUUUUGUAGCUGCAGCUGCCUCCCUUGCAAGUUUUGCAUUUUUAUUUGUCUCCACUGUUCUCUUUGCGAGCUUUGCAUUUUCAGCUGCCUCCUUUGCGAGCACUGCAGCUUCAGCUGCCUCCUUUGCAAAUUGUGCAGCUGUAACCGCCUCCUUUGUGGCCACAGCAGCUGUAGCCGCCUGCUUUGCGCGCUGUGCAGCUUCAACCGUCUCCUCUAUAAACUGUUGAGCUGCAGCUGCCUCCUCUGCAGCUACAAACUGUGAAUCUGCUGCCUCCUGCAAAAAUUCAUUAUGAAACAAAACCUAAUCAUCAUGAUCAGGUAAAUCGGAAAUCCUCAAAGCCACUCAUAAAAAAAUUCUAUAGCUUGCAUAGUUAAUUUUAAAUUUAUUUGAUACAUGGUACACAUCAUUUUUUUUUGUUUUUUUGUUUUUUUUUUUUAAUAAAAGAAAGAUACAAGCCAUUCAUCAGAAAUCUUUCCUCACUAAAGUCACUAGCCAGUAGUCCAGUACUCAUCAACUCUGUAUACCAUCAAGUAUAUAUAGACCCAAACGAACCUCUCAGACAAGAAUAAACAAUCCAACAAGAGCAGAAGGUAAAGAACAAUGAUGCAAUUCAAAACUUGUCAUGAAUACACAGAUAUAUUCAUGAUAAGUCAGUCAAGCAGGAUCUCACCUCUAACAUACGAUUAUAAAUCGCGUUCCUGAGCUUGAGUGGUGUAAGUAUGCCCGCUUCUAAUUGCUCCGUUAUCCUCUGCAACGACUUUAACUUUCCUGCAAACUCAAUAUAGUGGUCGUAUAAAUCCGUAGCAUAAAGAUCGGCAUGGCUGCAAGUUAACAGUUUAGAUUAUUAAUUCCACUUUGUGAAGUUCCCGAACAAAAAUGAAGAACAUAUAUGAGUAAGGUGAUGAGUAGAGUAGUCUUACUAGAUUAUAUUCCGCUUCAUCUUCCGAACUUUCAUCUCAAUGGCGCGCUGGAAAGAAAUAGAUAAUUGUUAUUGAUUAAUCUAAAUGUAAGUUUGUAACUAAAUGCAUAGAUGAAUGAAUAGAGUGAAAAGCCGUUGAUACGUACAUUCUUAGGAUCUUCGAAUGCCCAAAAAUAAUUCGCUCUGCGUCUGAGUUUUCUUGGAAGAAAAAACUGCCCUUUUAGGGCUGCAAUCGGGACCCGAUCCUCCAUCGCUGAUCUCAACCUCAAAUUUGAUGGAGUCUCUUUAGAGAUUUUGAGCAAUUAUUCUAUCUAUUUGGAAUCUAAGAGGUUCUUGAAUUAAAAUUUAUGGUGAUGAGAUUUUUGGUGACUAUUGUUACAUUUCCUUGCUAAAUUUGUGGCCGAGAGAUGGAGGGGAGAGACAUUAGGGUUCUUGAAGAGAUCAGCGGGUUGUGUGAAUUGUGAAGCGCGAUUAUAAAAGAGAUUUUUGAAACUCAUUAUAAGUUGGUGAAGAGAAUGAUCAAAAGAAUUUUCCAAAAGUAUACUUCCACAAUGUCCGUCGUGCAAUAUCUUUUUGAAAUUAAUUCGAGAUCAUUUUUCUUCUUGAAGAUAUCAGCUUGAUUUGACAAACUUCGAAAAGAAAUCAGUUUGAUGGAUUUCGAAAAGAGUAUCCAUCAAAUUAUCAAUUUCCAGUUAAUAAACUGAUUUCCAGUCUUAUGGAUUUGAUGGAUUCCCGUCAAUCUCGAAUUAAUUAUGAUCAAACCUAUGGGUGCUUCUAGCCGGAUACGAAUCUGCUGUGCCUAAAAAGUUGUGCCCACUAUGUGCCACGACUACUACCGCGACACCUAUCAUCUCACUUGACAGAGAUAUAACGCUGUUAACACAUAUUUUUUGUAAUUUAUAACUAAAUUGAUAAAUCAAUAUUUGUAAGUACUGGGUUUUUUUUUAGUUGCGGCUCGCUCCUGGAGUCCUGGUUUUUCUCGAUAACAACUUCGGAUCAUGAUCUUCAUAAAAAAGGAAAACUGAUCGCUUUUUUCAUAUAUAAGAAAAACUUGAAGGCUUCAAUCAUCGUUUAUCAAGAAAUCCUUAUGGCUGAUUAGUAAGAUUGAUGAAAGAAAAUUGCAAUGAGGUGGCUCAAAACACAAAAGGCAUAGGAGAUGCUUGAAAGAGUGGUGGACUGGAGUAUUUGAACGGAGCAGACGGUGGUGGGCGGUGGAGGUUUCCGGCAUGGAAAAUCAAACCCAAACAAUCCAAACAAGAUUUGAUCACCUCAAUCAUUCCUCCCCAUGAAUCAACCCCUACUUUCAGCACCUAUAUGGGAAAGGAAGAAAGAAUUAAGGGAAGGGGAUAGAUGAUGGUUUUAUUUUUUGGGUUUGUUUGAUUGUAGAUUUGGGAAACAGAAGAUGAAGCGAUUUAUUCAAUAAAAAACUUUUCUCAGUCAAUUUAAUUUAUAAUACAAAAUAAUAAAAAGUAAUAGAUUUAACACAGUUAAUUUUCUGUUAAGUGAGAGGACACGUGUUGCAGCAGUAUUCGUGGUACAUAGUGGGUACAGGGUUUUUGGGCACAGCAGAUGUGCUUCCCUUCUAGCCUACAAUAAGUCUUUUUUGGAUAUUAGUUCUUUUUUAAUUUAGUUUUUUAUUAUGGUUUUAAGUUGUAUCGGUGUUUUGCUCCCGAUUGACUAACCGUUGGACUUGUAUUGGAGUUUAACUCCCGCUUAUCUCAUUGGUCGAUAUCGAUAUUGGCGUUUCACCAAAUGAUCGAAAUAUCACUAUAAAAAAAAACAUAAUACGAUCAAACCCAUCACGUUUUUAGUUUUAAAUUUUUAAUCAAUCCCUCUUCUUACUCUCAAUUUUUGUAAAGUAAGGUUUGUGGAAGCGAUUAGUAAAAACAAUUUUUCCUUUUAAGCUAGAGAAAAGAUAAUUAUAAAUAGAACAAGAAAAGGAGGGAGGUGAUAGCAGCAUACUCUCUCCCCCUUUGUAUCACCAACAGUCAAGGAUACAGUCAACAUGUCCGGCGGGCCUUCUGAUGGUAACGAAUCCCUCUUUUACUGUUGUUUUUAUGUGUUUCUCAUGCUGAAAUUCGAUCGAGUUGUUUGAUAAUGCUUUGGGUUAAUUUAUGACUACAGUUGGGAAGAUAGAGAAUAAUCCAGACUCCUUUAAGGUUAGUACUUCACUUUCCUCGGCAACCAAGAGACUCUUGUUUCGGUUUUAACUGUUGCUCUUCAAAUUUUAUUGUUGAUCUAAUUUUUCCUUGGUCAGUUUUACGGUCGGCGCUCCUAUGCCUUCGAGACUCUUGACAAGGAGAACAGAGAGCGCAUUGAUAACCUUAGAAAGAUUCAGGUAUGGAGCUUGUAGUUUAUAGUUGAUUUGUUUCAUUCACUCAACAUGACAUACUGUUGUUUCUCUAUGCAGAGAGACCUUGAUGAAAUAAAGGCAGGGUUUCACAAAGAGAGAUCAAAACUUGAAGCCAGCUUUCUGGACUCUUGUGAACCUCUGUACCUCCAGGUAUGGCUUCUUAAUUGACUGCCAAUAGAUUGAUAUAGCCAAUUGAAUGUCAUCUAUAUGGAUUAGUUAUUUAAUAAAUUUUGCAGAGAUACAAUAUUGUGAAUGGUGUGGUCAAAAAUACUGGAAUUACUACUGAUGUUGUGGAUCGAGAGGAAAAUGCUGCAGGAGCUACAUCAGUGAACCAAACCAAAAAAAGGAAAAAGGUACAUCCUUUACAUUGGUCAUGUCUUAUAAGAAUUUGUUAUGAUUAUUAAUUAUGUGUUUUUGCAGGGAAAGGGGUGCCUAGUUUCUGGUCAUAUGCUCUGAAAGGCUGUGACGACGUAUAUGACAUGGUUGUUAUUGCAUAAUGUUUUUCAUGAAGUAUCUCAUCCUUAAAGUUUGUAGCUGUAACUCAGUUGUUUUUGUCUUGUCUCUUGGAAUCAGAUUACAGAACAAGAUGAAGGAGCUCUCAAACAUCUUACAGACAUCAAAUGGUCCAGGAUACAAAAAGGAUUCAGGCUUGAAUUCCAUUUCAGCACUAAUCCCUUCUUCGAAAACCCCGUCUUGACCAAGACGUAUCACAUGACUGAUGAAGAUGGAUUCUUUAUAGAAUGCGCAAUAGGGUAAGUAUCUUGUUUUAUCCAUUUGUUACAAGGAAGGCAUGUCUUUAUUUUUUUUGUCACCUGGUGCUUUGUAGGACAGAGAUUACAUGGUAUCCGGGAAAAUGCUUGACACAUAAGCUCAACAAGGAAUCUGGGAAGGGAUCAAAGAAAGCCGAGCCAAUGACUAUUAAGAGCUUCUUCGGCUUUUUCAGUCCACCUAACAUCCCAAAGAACCUGAAAGAUAAGAAAGAUCUUGUUGAGGUGAGUUUGUUGUCAGAUGGUCAUCUUUAGAUUUGUUUCCUUAUUUGAUUGUGUGUAUACACAUGCAAUUUCUUUAAUUAGUUUUUCCCAACAGGUCAUAAAUCUGAAAUACGAUAUGGAAAUGGAUCUUUUCUUGGGGUGAGCUCACAACUUGUGUUUUAGCCAUAGGCAGAACUUUGUUAUUAGUUACAGUUUGAUUGAGGUCUCAAUAUAGACAGGUUCUCUGAGCUUCGCUAUUGGUCGAUGUAUUUAUUCUAUUGAAGGUUGACCAUUCGAGAUCAUAUCAUCCCAUGCGCGGUUUCACGGUUUACAGGAGAGGCUGCACGGGAGGACAAGUUCAAAAUAUCUACGCAGCACUCCGAUUUCCUUGACAAUCUAGGAAAAAAUGUCAGAGAAUGUGUUGAAAGUCUUAGACCAAUCCAGGUACUAUUCUUCCUUGCUCUGUGAUUUGUAGUUGUUGUAUGUUAUUGCUGUAUGGGAAAUUGUAUUAUUCAGUUUGAUAUGUUUCCAUGCUUUAUUUUUGUCAGUUGCACUCCGAAUUAGUAAUCAGCAACUCGCUUAACAACUUUGUUUUAUUCAUUUGAUCCAUUUUAUUGAACAGAUAUAGGUCUUGUGAUGUGUUUAGUCACACUUAAGUUCUUGACGAUUCACCCCAUUAUUAUUCUAAGAUCAUUUUAUAAAAGUUUGCAGUUGACAUCACUUGAUCCUUUCUCAACUUGAAGGAAAAGUAUGAUGCAUUGAAAGCGGAGUAUGACAAGAACAGAGCCUCAAUUCAAGAAAAAUAUCAUAAAUCAUGUGAACUUUUGUAUCUACAGGUAUAUAGACAAUUUGUACAGUGUAUCAAUCUGUGUAUCAUCUCUCUAUCAUUUUUCCUGUUAGAUGACGUUUAGUCACUCCAAUUCACAGCGAUACGAUAUCAUAAAUGGUGAAGAAAAAAAUGAUCCCGAAGCAGAUGGAGUUGGUAGUGAUUAUGAAGAUGAAGCAUAUAUCUUUGGUACAUUUUUGAUACUUCUAUAUCUAUAAACUGUAGCAUUUUGUUAAUUAUUUCAUUACUGUUUAUUGUCCUAUUGUGUAUUUUGGCAGGAAAAGGGGUGCCUUACUUCUGGCUCAAUGCUUUGCAGAACAAUGACUAUAUAGAAAAUGAGGUAGGUGUUGGAUGCAUACUGUUUCUCAUUUCCAAUGUUUACUUAGUUAUGACUUGUGUAUUAAAUCCUUCUUUGUUUUCUCUCUUGUCUUCAAAAUUUAGAUUACUUAUCGUGACGAACAACCUCUAAAAUAUCUUACGAACAUCAAGUCUUCCCCCAUUGAUGACUCCGAGGGCUUCAAACUUGACUUCUACUUUAAAGCCAAUCCAUUCUUUGGAAAUCCUGUCUUGACCAAGACAUUCCUCAUGAGUGUUGAGAAUGAUAUAUCCCUAGUGAAAGAUAUAAAAGGGUGAGUUGGGUUUCUACCUUCUUCGAGGGCAUGUACUGAUGUCAAGUUGACAUGGUUUCUUGUAUAUAUCGACUACAGUUUGACGGGCACCUAUUGUUUUGUAGGACUGAGAUUGAAUGGUAUCCGGAAAGAUGCUUGACAACAAUUCCGAUUAAGAAGAAACCUAAGUCACGAUUAGAGGAUGCGAAGGCGAUCACUGUAACUGAAGAUUGUGACAGUUUCUUCUCUUUUUUUAGUGCACUUGAAAUAGUAGAUGAUGUAAGCUGGUUAUGCAUUCUCUGAAACUUGUAGUUUAGAAUUCGACUUGUCUCUAAUGUCUUAUUUUCUUCUCUUUCUUAACAGCCCUUUAAGCACGCAGAUCAGGUGGAACAUGAUUUUCUUAUUGGGUGAGUUCAUUAUCUUGUUAUCUGGCUCACUAUCUUAAAGUGUAUGAUCGUUUUACUUCUUUCUUAAUUCAGCUAUUGAUUGUUGGAUACUUGUUAACUUUCAGUACUUUACUGAUAUUGAUUUUGUGUAGGUCAAUUAUCCGAGAUCAGAUUAUUCCCCAUGCAGUUUCUUGGUUUACAGGGGAGGCUAUUGAAAGAGAUGACUUGCAAGACGACGCAGAUGAAGACCAGUACCUUGGAUUUGAAGCAGAAUAUGAUGAUGAUCACGAAGAUGGCGAUGAUGAUUACGAAGACCUUGACGAUGGAUUAGGCUCUGAUGAAGACGACUCUGACCAGGAAUACAUUGAUGAUUACAAUAGAAGAUACAAUUAUUAUUAAGUCAAAGAUGAAACCGAACAAAGUUAAAGAUUUUGAAACCCAGAAUAUGCAUGAAAUAUGGCUAGUAGCUUCUUGGCAGUUAUAGAAUGUUUUGAGGUGCCCAUAUGUAUCAUGACUACAUUACAUUUCCUUAUUUGACAGUUUUAGAAUGUAUUGAGGUGCCCAUAUGUUUUGGUACAAGGGUUGGUGAAUCUGCUAGCUUCAUAUUUUGGGAUCAUGAGUUGCUUAUUGUUCUGAGUAGGUACAAACAGUAAUUAAUGUCAUAUGAUCAAAGUUUCAUAUCAUUGAUUCCAAUUAAUAGAAAUUGAUGAAGAAUUGAAGAUGUUCAACUAGGUUUCAUUGAACAAGAAAGAGAGAAAACAAAAGAUUAAAAAGAAAAAAUUGCAGCUAACAAAAAGGAAGCAUUCCGGACAACAAACUCUAGUCCAGUGACAACCUUCCAAGCCUUUCCUCUACAACUGGCUCCUCUGGAGUUGCUUCUUCAUCUGCAAGCUUUGCGGCUGCAGCUGCCUUCUUUGCCAUUUCUGCAGCUGCCUUCUUUGCGACUUUUGCAGCUGCAGCUGCCUCCCUUGCAAGUUUUGCAUUUUUAUAUGUCUCCACUGUUCUCUUUGCGAGCUUUGCAUUUUCAGCAGCCUCCUUUGCGAGCUCUGCAGCUUCAGCUGCCUCCUUUGCAAAUUGUGCAGCUGUAACCGCCUCCUUUGCGGCCACUGCAGCUGCAGAUGCCUGCUUUGCGCGCUGUGCAGCUUCAACCGUCUCCUCUAUAAACUGUUGAGCUGCUGCCGUCUCCUCUGCAGCUAUAAACUGUUCAUCUGCUGCCUCCUGCAAAAUUCAUCAUGAUAAUAUAAAAGCCACUAAUAAUCAUUAUGAUCUAUCAUAAAAUUUGUCAUGUAUACAGAUUUUAUGGCGUCAACUUCAAGUGAUCAGUUCAUUCUCACCUGUAUCAUACGAUUAUAAAUCGCAUUCCUGAGCUUUUUUAUCACACCAACUUUAUCUUUGUCUACUAUAAAUUCCCUCUCGAGUUUAUAUUGUUCCGUAGCACAGAUGGUAGCACGGCUGAUGGAUUGUAAUAUAUUAGAUCAUCCAUAAUUGUUAAAAUACCAUACAUAAAAUUAGAAGAAGAAAAAACGAAAACAUAGAUAUGAAUAGUCUUACUAAAUUAUAUUCCGUUUCAUCUGCCGAACUUUCACUUCAAUUGCGGGCUGAUAUCAAACAGAAAUUUGUUGUUAACUGAUCUGAUUAUACAGACGACUAAAAAGAUGAUAACGAUUUGUGGUGAAAGAUAUAGCAAAGCAAUAUAAGAUAUGUAGAAAGAAGAACAGUUGGAAAAAUAUAUCUAUAUACGUAAGUGAAAAGCAGUAGGUACGUACAUUCGUAGGUUCCUUGAAUGCCCAAAAGUGAUUCAUUCUACGUCUGAGUUUUCUCGGAAGAAAAAGCUGUGAUUUAAAGACUAUGAUUGGUUCUUGAUCCUCCAUCGCUGAUCUUAUAAUCCUCAAAUUUGAUGGAGUUACUGAAGAAAAUUUCAGCGAUUUCUCAAAUAGAUAGAAGUUUUAUAGGGUUCUUGAGUCAAUGAUAAAUUGGUACUGAGAUUUUGGUGACUAAGGAUGCUAUAACUGUGACGGAGAGAGGGAGGAAGAUAUCUUGAAAGGAAAAGAGAAAUCUAAACGUUCUAAAAUGUCUUAACUGAUCAGUUAUGAAGAGAAAAAUCAUGAAUCAAAUUUCCAAAAGUGAAAGUUCCACAUCAGAAUUGAUAGCAAUAUUUUUUUGUAACCAAUUUGAUUAUUUUCUUUUUGAGUUACCAAAUAGUCGCAUGAUCAGUCCCAUAAUUUAAGUAGUUAACUUUUAUCCUCCAAUAUUAUCAUUUUUUAGUUUGAAAAUUUGAGAGCUAUUCUUCAUCUUGAUCAGUAACCCUAGUACUAUGAUCCCUGAUCCCUUUAUUCCCUUCCCACAUAAUCACCACCACUCACCAGUCAACCCUAAAGUGAACAUGUCCGGCGGGUCUUCUAUUGGUAAUAAUCCCUCCUACUAUUUUCAUGCAUUUCUGAUGCUGUAUUUUGAUCUAGUUAUUGAUAGUGUUUUGGUUUUAUGAUUACACAGUUGGGAAGGGACAUAAUCAUCCUGACGCCAUUAAGGUUAAUAUUUCAUGUUUCUCAGCAACCAAGAGCUCUUGUUCUGAUUUUAACUAUGGAUCGUAAUUUUACUUUUAUUCUAAUUUUUUUUUAUCUCUCUCCUUAAUGUAGUUUUUCGGUCGGCGCUCUUAUACCCUCGAGACUCUGUAUGUGAGGGAGCACAUUGACAAACUUAGGAAGAUCCAGGUAUAGUGUUGCCCACCCCAAAAACUUGUAUGUUGUUAAAUUUGUUUCAUUCACUCAACAUUACAUACUGUAAUUUCACUUGCAGAAAGAUCUUGAUGAAACCGAGGUAAAGUUUUACGACGAGCGAGGAAAACUUGAAGUCGAGAUGGCCGAGUCUUGUGAACCUCUUUAUCUCCAGGUAUGGAUCUUGCUGGUUCACAUUUUACCCCAUUUGUUAAUAGUCAUAGAUAGUCUAUUGUAUUUGUAUGCCAUAUGUAUUGAACUUUUUUUUUAUUUUAAUAAAUUUUGCAGCGAUAUGAUAUUGUGAAUGGUGUGGUUAAGGAUGUUACAAAUCAAGAGGACAAGAUGAAGAGAGGGGUGCCUAAUUUCUGGUUGUAUGCUUUAAAAGGGCAUGACUUGUUAGCUGCUCAGGUUGUUGUUUGUGCAUAGAGUUUUUCAUCAGGUUUCUUAUCCUCCAUGUUUGUGCAUAAAUUUGUAGUUGUUGAAUCUUAAUUGUUUUUACCGUAUCUCCUGGUAUCAGAUUACAGUUCAAGAUGAAGAAGCUCUCAAACAUCUCACAGACAUCAAAUGGUCCAGGAUACAGAAAGGGUUUAUACUUGAAUUCCAUUUUAACACCAACCCCUUCUUUGAAAACCCUGUAUUGGCCAAGACAUAUCACAUGAAUGAUGAAGACGAAUUCUUUCUAGAAUCUUCAAUAGGGUAAGCUUUUUUGUUUUCUUGUUUUAUAAGUUACAAGGAAGGCAGGUAUUUGUGUUUACUUGACUUCAAUUUGUUUGUUCUCUUGUUUCUAUGUAGGACAAAGAUUACAUGGCGUCCGGGAAAGUGCUUGACACAGAAGCCUUCUACUAAUAAAAGCUUCUUUGGCCUUUUCAGUCCGCCUGAAAUCCCAAUGAACCUGAAAGAUACGAAAAAUACUGUUGUGGUGAGGUUUUUAUAACAUGAUCAUCAUCUUUAAUUUUCUUUCCUUAUUUGACUGUGUAUGCAAUCUUAUAUUUUGUCUUUCUCAACAGGUCACAAAUCUGAAAUAUGAGAUGGAAAAUGAUUGUUUCUUGGGGUGAGCUCGUAGCUUAUGUUUUCCCAUGAUGUUUGAACUUUGUUAGCAGCUACGGUUUGAUUGAGGUCUCUGAACUUAGUUAUUUUGCUCGACACGUUUUUAUUCUUGUCUAGGUCGAUCAUUCGAGAUGAGAUCAUCCCACGUGCUAUUUCAUGGUUUACUGGGGAGGCUGGACUGGAGCAGAAGACCCAAAUAUCAGCUCAGCGCUCCAAUUUCCUCAAGAAUCUAUCCGAAGAUGUCAAGGAGUGUGUUGAGAGUCUAAGAUCGAUCCAGGUACUAUUGUACUCUGACACUAGCUUAUAGUUGUAUUGCUAUAUGGGAUAAGUUCCCCUCCAAAUUAGAAAAUCACUACGUUAUGUUUUCUGUUAAUUGCAACUCCAUUCACAGCUUGUGGUGUGUUUACUUCCAACUUGAGCAUUUUACAAAAGUUUGCAUUUGACAUACCUUGAUGGUUUCUCACCUUGAAGGAAACAUAUGAUGCAUUCAAAGCAAAGUUCGACAAGGAUAGAGCAUCAAUUCAAGCAGAAUAUUGUCAGUCGUGUCAACCUUUGUAUGUAGAGGUAUAUAGACAAUUUAUACAAUGUAUCAGUCUUUGUGUCAUGCUUCUAUCUCUUUGUGUUUCAAAUAUGAAGUUAAUAAACUUAAAUGCCACUCCACUUUGCAGCGAUACAAAAUUAUAAAUGAUGAAGCAUAUGAAGAGAGCAUUGAUCAUGAAGCAUAAGGAGAAAGUAUUGAUCAUGAAACAGAUGAAGCUAGUAGUGACUCUGAAGAGAAAGCAUUAUUGGCCUAUGGUACACUUUUGAUAGUUACAUAUGUAUAUAUCCUUAACUUCUACAAUAUGCUAUUGUUUCAUGAGUAUUUAUUAUCCUGUUAUGUUUUUUGGCAGAGAAAGAGGUGCAUAACUUCUGGCUGUAUGCAUUGCAAAAUAAUGACUAUAUAGACGACGAGGUGGGUGUUGUUCGUGCAUAAUGUUUCUCAUUUACAAUGUUUACAUAGUCGUAAGUUGUGUAUAAAAUUCUUCAUUGUUGUCUCUCUUGUGUAUAGAUUACUUAUCGUGAUGAACUAGCUCUGGAAUUUCUUAAAGACAUCAGGUGUUCUCCCAUAGAUUGCUUCAAAGGCUUCAAGCUUGACUUCUACUUUAGAGCCAAUCCUUUUUUUGAAAACUCUGUCUUGACCAAGACAUAUUUCAUGAGUGAUGAGGAUAGAUCCAUUGUGAAAGAUAUAACCGGGUGAGUUAGGUUUCUACCUCCUACCUUGUGCUAAGGCAUCUGCAGCUGACUAGUUGCUUGUAUAUAUCGAUUAUAAUUUGACGGGUACCUGGGUUUUGUAGGACUAAGAUUAAUUGGUAUCCGACUAGAUGCUUGACACAGAUACCUAUCAGGAAGAAACCUGAGACAGGAUCAGAGUAUGCGAGGUCAAUCACUACAUUUGAAGAUUAUGACAGUUUCUUCUCAUUUUUCAAUGCACUUGAAGUAGAUGAUGUAAGUCCCUUAUUCACAUGGUCUUAAGCUCUUAGUUUAGUAUUUGAACUUUUUCCUGGUAUCUUAUUUGUUUAUCUUUCUUAACAGAUCGAUAAACGUAUAGAACAGAUGCAACAUGAUUUUUCUAUUGGGUGAGUUCAUUAUCUCCUCGUUAAGACGACGCUUGCACUACUACACACAUAGUCAUCUAUAGCGUUUGAAAAACGUCAUGGAAUGUAUUUCAUGGCGUUUUUCAGCUCCAUCCCUUAACGCCGUUUAAAGUGAUGUCAUAAUAGCUUUUAAUGGCAUUUUGCUCAAAAACGUCAUAAUUAAAAUGUCAUUAAAGGGUAUAUGUGUAGUAGUGUUGUCAACUGGCAUCUUAUAAAUUUUCUUUCUCAAUUCGGCUAUUGAUUAUUUGUUGCUUCUAAACUUUUUGUUCUUUCUUUUUCAUGUAGGUCAAUUAUUCGUCAUCAGAUCAUCCCCCAUGCAGUUUCAUGGUUUACAGGAGAGGCUAUUGAGAAAGAUGUGUGUUCAGAUGAUGAAGACCAGUACCUUGGACUUGAAUAUAAAUUUGAAGAUAUAGACGAAGGUCAAGAUGCUUAUGAAGACCUUGACGAUGGAUUAGAAUAUGACUAUGAACAUGAGAUAGAAA